RNAcentral lists this non-coding RNA (62 nucleotides) under Ruminiclostridium papyrosolvens DSM 2782. Lineage: Bacteria; Bacillati; Bacillota; Clostridia; Eubacteriales; Oscillospiraceae. The record is from RNAcentral.
GCAGAUGGGCCGGAGAAAUCCGGUUAAUGCCGAUACCGUAAGGUAUGCAGUCCAAACGCUGC